GAUGAAGAACGUAGCGAAAUGCGAUAAGUAAUGUGAAUUGCAGAAUUCAGUGAAUCAUCGAAUCUUUGAACGAACAUUGCGCCCGCCAGUAUUCUGGCGGGCAUGCCUGUUCGAGCGUCAUUACAACCCUCAGGCCCCCGGGCCUGGCGUUGGGGAUCGGCGGAAGCCCCCUGCGGGCACAACGCCGUCCCCCAAAUACAGUGGCGGUCCCGCCGCAGCUUCCAUUGCGUAGUAGCUAACACCUCGCAACUGGAGAGCGGCGCGGCCACGCCGUAAAACACCCAACUUCUGAAUGUUGACCUCGAAUCAGGUAGGAAUACCCGCUGAACUUAAGCAUAUCAAUAAGCGGAGGA
Molecule: unclassified non-coding RNA, 353 nt
Filed under: soil metagenome
Description: partial contains 5.8S ribosomal RNA, internal transcribed spacer 2, and large subunit ribosomal RNA
Rfam family: 5.8S ribosomal RNA (bases 1-120)
Source: RNAcentral